Molecule: ribosomal RNA, 494 nt
Filed under: uncultured bacterium
Lineage: Bacteria
Description: bacterial SSU rRNA
Rfam family: Bacterial small subunit ribosomal RNA
Source: RNAcentral
GUCGGGUAUUGAAUGUUAAAUUUCGGAUAGUGGCGGACGGGUGAGUAACGCGUGGGCAACCUACCUUCAACAGGGGGAUAACACAGGGAAACUUGUGCUAAUACCGCAUAAGACCAUAGGAGGACAUCCUGAAGUGGUCAAAGGAGCAAUCCGGUGGAAGAUGGGCCCGCGUCCGAUUAGCUAGUUGGUAGUGUAACGGACUACCAAGGCGACGAUCGGUAGCCGAACUGAGAGGUUGAUCGGCCACAUUGGGACUGAGACACGGCCCAGACUCCUACGGGAGGCAGCAGUGGGGAAUAUUGCGCAAUGGGGGGAACCCUGACGCAGCAACGCCGCGUGAAGGAUGAAGGUUUUCGGAUUGUAAACUUCUUUGAUGAGGGACGAAAAAAAUGACGGUACCUCAAAAACAAGCCACGGCUAACUACGUGCCAGCAGCCGCGGUAAUACGUAGGUGGCGAGCGUUGUCCGGAAUUACUGGGUGUAAAGGGCGUGUA